Molecule: ribosomal RNA, 459 nt
Filed under: uncultured bacterium
Lineage: Bacteria
Description: partial 16S ribosomal RNA
Rfam family: Bacterial small subunit ribosomal RNA
Source: RNAcentral
CCUACGGGUGGCAGCAGUGAGGAAUAUUGGUCAAUGGGCGGGAGCCUGAACCAGCCAAGCCGCGUGAGGGAAGAAGGUACAGCGUAUCGUAAACCUCUUUUGUCAGGGAACAAAGGCGGGGACUAGUCCCCGGAUGAGGGUACCUGAAGAAAAAGCAUCGGCUAACUCCGUGCCAGCAGCCGCGGUAAUACGGAGGAUGCGAGCGUUAUCCGGAUUUAUUGGGUUUAAAGGGUGCGCAGGCGGCCUGGUAAGUCAGCGGGAAAAGCCCGGGGCUCAACCCCGGCGAGCCGUUGAAAAUGGCGGGCGGGAGUUGGAGAGAAGUACGCGGAAUGCGCGGGGUAGCGGUGAAAUGCUUAGAUAUCGCGCAGAACCCCGAUUGCGAAGGCAGCGUACCGGCUCCACACUGACGCUGAGGCACGAAAGCGUGGGUAUCGAACAGGAUUAGAUACCCUGGUAGUC